RNAcentral lists this ribosomal RNA (545 nucleotides) under uncultured bacterium. RNAcentral's name for it is "bacterial SSU rRNA". It matches the Rfam family "Bacterial small subunit ribosomal RNA", at positions 851 to 1398 of the family's 1533-position model. The record is from RNAcentral.
GCGAAAGCGUUAAGUAUUCCACCUGGGGAGUACGCCGGCAACGGUGAAACUCAAAGGAAUUGACGGGGGCCCGCACAAGCGGAGGAACAUGUGGUUUAAUUCGAUGAUACGCGAGGAACCUUACCCGGGCUUGAAUUGCAACUGAAUGAUGUGGAGACAUGUCAGCCGCAAGGCAGUUGUGAAGGUGCUGCAUGGUUGUCGUCAGCUCGUGCCGUGAGGUGUCGGCUUAAGUGCCAUAACGAGCGCAACCCUUAUCGAUAGUUACCAUCAGGUUACGCUGGGGACUCUGUCGAGACUGCCGUCGUAAGAUGUGAGGAAGGUGGGGAUGACGUCAAAUCAGCACGGCCCUUACGUCCGGGGCUACACACGUGUUACAAUGGGGGGUACAGAAGGCAGCUACACGGCGACGUGAUGCUAAUCCCUAAAGCCUCUCUCAGUUCGGAUUGGAGUCUGCAACCCGACUCCAUGAAGCUGGAUUCGCUAGUAAUCGCGCAUCAGCCACGGCGCGGUGAAUACGUUCCCGGGCCUUGUACUCACCGCCCGUC